CAGUAGUGGCGAAUGAAGCGGGAAAAGCUCAAGUUUGAAAUCUGGUAGGUAAAACUGUCCAGAGUUGUAAGCUGGAGAGGCGAUGUCCGACGCGGUCCAGGCUCAAUUUCCUUGGAACAGGAGGUCAUGGAGGGUGAGAACCCCGUACAUGGCUUGGGUACCGCCGUCCUUGUGACGCGUCCUCUAAGAGUCGGGUUGUUUGGGAAUGCAGCUCAAAAUGGGUGGUAAAUUUCAUCUAAAGCUAAAUAUUGGCGAGAGACCGAUAGCAAACAAGUAGAGUGAUCGAAAGAUGAAAAGUACUUUGAAAAGAAAGUGAAACAGUACGUGAAAUUGUUGAAAGGGAAGCGUUUGGCAUCAGCCCAUGGCGGUGGUCGAACAUCUGGGCUUCUGCCUAGUGCACUCGGCCGCCGUUGGGCCAGCGUCGGCUCUGCCUGCCGGAGAAAGGCCUUGGGGAAGUGGCUCUCUUCGGGGAGCGUUAUAACCCUUGGUGUCAUGCGGCUGGGCGGGGCCGA
RNAcentral lists this ribosomal RNA (512 nucleotides) under uncultured Archaeorhizomycetes. Its description in RNAcentral is "eukaryotic LSU rRNA". It matches the Rfam family "Eukaryotic large subunit ribosomal RNA", at positions 81 to 592 of the family's 3401-position model. The record is from RNAcentral. Lineage: Eukaryota; Fungi; Ascomycota; Archaeorhizomycetes.